GGCAGAGACAAACUUGGACAGCAGCCAGGUGUCCAGCACCACCUCCCUCCACCUCGAGGUCCUUGCCUCAGCGCCUGCUUCGCGGGACAGCUGCACAUCCCACGCAGCUGAGCACCAUGACUGCUCUCCCUUCACAGAGGUGGGGACACUGAGGCAUGAAGACAUUUAGUCGCUGGCCCAAGGCCGCCCUCCUGUUGAGCAAUGGAAGCAGAUUCGAGCUUGCCCUCUGCUGCUUCAGAGGCCCCGUUAGUGACCACAGAGCACACUCCUGUGGUGGAGCCAGACUCAGGCCCCUGGUUUGUUUCUGCUCCCUUCUUUCCAACAUUCUGUUCUGCUGUCUGUCCUACCGCCCCCCACACUGUUCCUGGAGCCCCUGUUUCCAUGUCCUCCUCUCUCUCAGUUUCCUCCCUUGUGUGGUGGAAGCACAUCCUCAAGUAACAUCCUCAGAAAGGUAGAUCAGAUGAAACUCGAGUCCCUAUGUAGUAGAAACAGCCACAAAUCCCUCCUCUCCUGGCGUCCUUGCCCCUCUGCAAUGUGACUUUGUCCCUUCACAGAAAGAGAUGGAGCCCCUCCCUUCACCCUGCACUCUGGGCUAGCCUGGGGAUUCACUAGUCUGAUGGGCUGUCACUAAGUUGCGGGCUGCAGAGCUUGAACAACGCUCAUGUGUAGGGCCGAGAUCGUUCUCUUGCUGUUCUGGAGAGUGUCUGCUGUGGGGGAGGUGUGGCCUUCCUGUAGGACUUGAGGUCACGGGGAGGGAGGCUUCUGUCAUCCCAGCUGGUCCCAGCUGCCUGAAGGUGGGUUGACAAGCAGAGUGAGACCCGCGGAGAACCACCCCCCGGGGCUGGCCGGGCCACCAAGCUCCGGGCUAAUUGUGCUUGCUUUAGCCACUAAGUUCUGGAGUGGCCUGUCACGUGGGACACAUGAUGAGGCCCCUCACAGGCCUGAAGGCAUCUUGCUCUGUCCUCACACUUGUUGGAUGUCGGGCUGGGAGAGAAUCAGCUCAGUGGGAAUUCUCCCACAGGAGCUCGAGGGGGCCUCGCACCACAGCUGCUGGUCCGAAUUCCAGCAACCACGUUCUGGAUUUCUAACCCAGCUCGCUUGUCCUUUAAGUGACCCCUCCUCUUUCCUCAGAGCGUCCUGUUUUGUUGUAGGGAUGAAGUGGGUUUUGGGGGAGGAGCUUUUUCUUCCUGUGUUUUCUCUGUUCUCUUUGUGGUUCUUUUUUGUCUUCGGUCUUAGGAUUUCCCAUCAGACACUAUCCUCAGUGUUCGGCUUUUCUGCUCCUGUGUGGAAGGGAGGCAGGAGAGAGCCAGGGUCUCUCCCCGCGAGGACCCGGAGCUCUUGAGGGCCAGGCCCCUGGAAGGGCGGCCUCCCGCCUCAGGCAGACUGCAGGGCUGCGGUCUGGAUGGGAUGGCUGGGGGAGUCGGCCUGGGCAGUCCCCGUGUCACCCGCUGUCCCUCACAAGUGUUGGACGGUCACCCCAAGCCACGCCUUAGCCAGCCCCGUGUUUCUGUCCCUGCUUCGUCUGCACCUGGGCUGCGCUGCUCAGUCCACCCCUACUUCCUGUCUUAAGCAGUUUGUUGAAAUCCCUUGUCCGCAGGUGGUCUCACUCCUGUUGCCUUUGUGGGAUGGAUAUACUGCGGGGGCCGCUGGUGGGGAGCUCACCAACCAAGGAGGUGGCGUGCACAGUCCGCAGGCUGCGCCAGGCCGGAUGCCUGUGGCCCUAGCCCCAGAGGCCCCUCCGUGUUUCUGACAGGGGGUGUCUAUGUAGCCAGUAAGGACAGGCUGUGGCUGGGCGUGAGCUGGGAAGGAUAGGCCUGAGCCCCCCUCAGGCAUCAUCUGUCCCCCGAACUGCCCAGCCAGCUAGGGAGUCUGCUCAGCCACUGGAGGGAGGCAGGGCCCCAUGGGAUUCCUCCCCCAAGACCCCCUCAGCCUCGGCCCUGAGGCUCCUAUCUGGAGUCUCGUGGGUCUCGGGAUAGGCUCAGUUCAGAGUACCCAUCUGGGGGCCACUCAAGGUGGGGGCCAAGGAAGGCUUCUUGGAGGACUUCCCAGGUGAGGUGGCUGGCCACGAGGGCCAUGAGGAAGGGGGAUGGGGCAACGACUCUGGGCAGCUGGCAGCUGGUGUGGGGAGGGGGCCGGGAGGUGGGGUGGGGACUGCAUCCUGUGCUUGGUGCCCAAGCCUGCCAGGUGCCGGUGGGUGCCUGGGAACAUUACAUGGGGAGAGAGAGGUCCUUCCUCCUGUAAGAACAGCAGCCACAGCUGCCUGGGGUCCUUGUGUCUCACUGUGGCCAUCCAGGCUGGGCUUCAAGGCCUGAAGGCAGCGGCAAUCCCUGGGCGGGUUCGAGGAGGUGCCCAGGGCACCCUGAUGACACAGGAACCCUGCCCCACUUGCACAUCCUCCCCUGCCCAUGGCCCCAGGGCGCCUCCUUUUCGGCUGGGGAGCCCCACGCAGCUUGCUGCACCCCCACCUUUACCUAGGCUGUGCCCCCGUCUGGAAGGCUUGCUGGUGGCUCAGAGCCCAGCCCUGAAGACCCCAAGUCCCUGAAACUUUCCUCACCCCCUCCCUGUGGUCCUUGCAAUGUGGCCCUCAGCUCUAGAACGCCCCAGUGGAGGGGGGCUCUCAGAGCGAGAGCGGAUGCUUGGGAUCCAUAGUCCUGGCGGCAUUUCCAUGUAUAGGGACAGAUAUGCUAAUGUAUGCAAAGUACCCUGAAAAUCAGUGUCCUGGAUUGGGGUGGUGGGGUCUGCAUGGAGCCUGGGCUCCAGGGCGCCCGUGUCGGGGUGGAUGUGAGUCUGCUCUGGGUGCAGGCACCGGUCGGAAUUCCUGGCCAUGGGCGGGAAGUGGGGCUCGAGUGCACUUUGUGGGGAGCUCCAGGCCACGGCCCCUGCUGCCAGGCAGCCUGCGUCUCCCUGGUCGCCAGUUGCCAUGGCAGCCACUUCCUGCCCAAGUUGCUAUGACGCCCAAUGGCCUCAGGGAGCCUGGAGCCUGGGAGCAGGGGUGGGGCUGGGGAGGGAGAGGUGGCUGUGGAUGCCCACACCCUUCCUGCCCUGAGCAAUGGCUGGGGCGCUCCUGCCCGGGACUCACUGUAGCCUCGACAUUCAAUGUCCUGAGCUGAUUUCAAAAGCUGGGAAGCGGGUCUGCAGCAGAUGGAAUUCGGGGUCCCUGGCAUCCAGGUGUGCACACCAGAUGUUGACUUGUGUGCUGGGGUCAGGGCCUUGGGAGUCUCAGUUCAGGCUCCCCAGCCCUGGGUCUGAAGACCCAAGGUGCCACCUCUCAGCAUCAGGUGAGCCAGCCCUUACUGAGGCCUUCAGGCCCCUGGGCAGCCCGGGGGCCUCACGAGCCCUGCUUCCUGGAGCCAGGCCAGCAGUCCGCGCCCUGUCCUGGCCCCACCAGUGACCCACACCAUCAGCCCACUACCCAGCAAAGGAGCCGCCCACCCACCAGCCCACCCACUGGAGUAUGCAGCCGGCCAGCCCUCUGGAGCCAACUGCUGCCCACUGGGAGCUGCGCCGUGGAGCCGCCCGGGAGCGCUCUUCUGAAUAAGGCCCGCAUCGACCGCGAAGGGCAGUGUCUUCCUCACGGACGCGCUGCGAGCCACUCGCCAUACGAGGGAGACGUUUAAUUUAUCUCAGGAACUGGGCACAAGUUAUAAAAAUGGUAAUUUCUUGGAGAUUCAAUUACAUAUUUUCAGCAUUACCCUCAGUAAUCAAGGAACGAUUUUUAAAGAAAGGCUGUGAGAUGAUACGAAUCCCGGGGAGGAUGGGGCCAGGCGGCGGUGUCGGGACGCGGGGGCAGUGUCUGCUGGGGCAGAGCCACAGGGCAGAGUGGGCUGAGCUGCCAGGCCUCAACCUUGCCCCCCAGGAAGGGCCUGUCUCCGGCCCUGCCGGCCUGGUCACGGAGGGCCAUGAAGUGACUCGGUGGCUGCCCAGGACGCCCACGUCCCUGCCCAGCUGGGCACCGUCUGUCUCCCGAAGCCUCUGCGGGGAACGGAGGGGGCUCCUUGUGGGGCUCAGACCUGGUUAUUUUUUUUUGUGAUGUCUUGGCUCUAAAUAACAUCCCCAGGAUUACGGCGCUGGCGGCCAAUGGCACCAGGUGAUUGGAAAAAGGGUUUAUGGCCCCGCGGGUGAAAUUGAACUUGCAUCAGAUGAGUAUUUCCAAGAUGGGAUUUUCCUCCCGGCAAAGGAGGCACGUUUCCUGCUAAUUACAGCGGUGGUUCCUCCUGCUCAUCACCUGCGGCCGUGUGCGCACUCAGGCACAGGGCCGGGCUCCUGUGGCCUGGGGAUCAGGGCUGGGGUCACCACCAGGCCCCCUAAUCCCAGCAGACCCUGGCGCUGGUUCUGGGGGAGGUGACCUCACUCACCAGGGGACCAGGAAGGGGAGAGGAGGCCGGCAGGGCCAGGUCACACAGAAGGGGGCUGGCAGGAGGCCCCCAGGCUGGGGUGGGAGGUCUGCCAGGCCAUCAGCAGACUCGGGGCGGGGGUCCUGGGCCCAGCUAGGCAGUUGGCCCCAGAUCCAGCUCUGCUACUCCUGAAAGUCCUUUUGUACCUGACUGCAGGCUGCCCAGGGCCGGCCAGGGUGAGCAGGAGCAGCCGCUGCCUCAAGAGGCCUGCGCGGUACCACCCUGCCUAAGAGGCUUUGAGGCUCAGGGUUCUGUCUUAGGGCCAGGCUGGGAGCCUGGGGGAGGUGCUUAUGGUGAACCCCUUGGGCUGAGUUGGCUUCUGGGGAGGGAAGGCGAGGCCCUGCUGUCUACACAGCAGACAGGUUGUUGUCACAGGCCAGCUUCUCCCUGCUUCCUGCUAAAGGGACACAGACCAUCAACAUGGACCACCCCUUUGGGGGGCAGCUGCCUUAUCACCCAUUUUCCAGGUGAGACACAGGCUCAGAGAGGUGAAGGGCUUGUCUGGGGUCAUACAGUGGAUAAGCAACAGAGUGGACAAGUCAAGGGCCUGGGGAUGUCCAGAGUCAUCCCUCUGCCAGAGUCUGGAUUGGGACGGUGUCCAGGAAUCCAGGGAUGAUGGGUCAAGGCCUGGCCAACAGUUGGGGACUGGCCAGGGAAGAGAGGGCAUUGUUAUCCCUGCAGCCACUGCCCUGAAGGACAGAAGGGGGACCUACUCCCUGGGGGGAGGCAGGGCCAUCCUUCCCUGCUCCCUCCCACCAGGCUUGCAAAGUGGCCCACCUGCCAGUCGUGACGCCGACAGGAAGGGUAUGGUGCCCAACAUCCUUAAAGGGGACUUUUCCCAGAGUAAUUACCUUCGAUUCAC
Non-coding RNA from Equus caballus (horse), 5256 nucleotides. Lineage: Eukaryota; Metazoa; Chordata; Mammalia; Perissodactyla; Equidae. The record is from RefSeq and is a predicted model, not a curated record.